Molecule: ribosomal RNA, 182 nt
Filed under: uncultured fungus
Lineage: Eukaryota; Fungi
Description: 5.8S ribosomal RNA
Source: RNAcentral
CAAUUCACAUUACUUAUCGCAUUUCGCUGCGUUCUUCAUCGAUGCGAGAGCCAAGAGAUCCGUUGUUGAAAGUUGUAUUUGAUUGCGUUUUAAGGCAACAUGAACAUUCUAUGACACAUUCAGAGUAUAUGAUACAUAAGCCCGAAGGCCUACGGUGGGUUCACAGGUGUGUUGUGGAUUUA